AGACCUCAUAGAGAGACGUUUUCAUUUCAAUGGACUAAGCUUGCAGGCUAAGGUCUGUGGGCUCACAGAGGAGUCUUUCUGUAGGUGGCUAACAGAACGUGAUCGGAGAUGACUGAUGCCCUUAAGGUUUCACUUGACAAUGCUGGCUGAAGGUGAUUAAGAGUUUUAUUUUCUAAGGUGAUGUAAAGCUUGAUGAGUCAUAAGGACGCACUACCUCCAGGAGCUACAACUGAGAAGGUCCAUUCGCCUGAGUUCAAUGCGAGGCUGGCCCACGCCUGGCAGAGACACAGCCAAGGAAAGACACACGUGCCCUCUUCACUGAUCCUUGGCUCCGUGAGGAAGAAGACUCCUCAUCCAGGGGUGUCGUGCGGCUAGCAACAUUAGCAGAAGCUUCAGCUCAAGCUGACUUGAGUUCUAGCCUCAGCUCUUCCACAGUUUGUGCUGUCACAUGGUUACAAACUCACCUUGGUUUUCUCUGCUUCAAAAACAGAUUUCUUACCUCCCUUACUACAGUCAGAAAUCAUCACUCAAACUUGUUUUCUCAAACAUUCAGCAAAUCAAAGAAGUGAUGGCUUUCUCAGCCCCCAGGGACACUCAUUUCCUGAAUUUACUGUGGGUAUAUAAAUGACUCAGUCCAUUGUUGGCUUCUUGAGGACCCUCUCCCACUGGAUUUAAUUCAAGGCCUCCAGGACUGUACACCCAGACACUUUCUUCCCUUUUGGAGAUGGAAUCUACCUUUGUUAACUCCUGGAGAAUGUCAUGGUAACACAGCAGACCUCUAACACUGUCACCGGCCCGGCCAGCUUCCAAUCUUUCCGGCCUGGAGCCAUCUGCACGCUCCCGGGCUGCACGAGGCAGGAACACCAAGUCUCCUGGAGCAACCUGACCCCAGCACUAGACAGUGGCUUCGGAUGCAGGAGUGAGAUGCAGUAGGUCUGAGGAGGCGCAGCGGAUCCUCUUCCACACCGAGGGCUCUGGGAGAGGCUCCUCCUUGAUGGCAGGACUGAAGAAGGAUGUUCAAAGGCUCCCUUUCAACAUCACUGAUGAGAAAUCAUUAUUUCUGAAGUAGUUUCAUGCUACACCAGUGUCUCUUUGGAGAUCUACAUUUGACGAGAAAACAAAGGCACAAAAAGGAAACAACUUGCUCUCAGUGACCUGCUUUGGAUCCACAUAGCUCUGAAAACAUUUGGCCAUGUAUUUCUACUGCUGCACUUAAUGCACUAUUUUGCCGUUUGUUUCCAAGUCCUCUUCAAUACUGUGAGCUUCUGAAAGCAAGGACCUGUUCAUAUUUGUUCAGCUCUGCAUCCCAGUUACUUGGCAAUCCCAAGCUGAUGGAACCUCUUUUGUGCUUACCAGGCCAUGACAGAGACCCUCAACUGUGACCUGCCAAAUCACCGACUUUCUCAUGAGCCUGGAAGUGAACAUUCACUGAGUAGUCUAGGAUGUAAGUAAAUGAAGUACACUGGCCAUUUGCAGUCAUUCCUGGGAAAUCCCUCAUCUGAAUCUAGAGUCAAAAGAGGAACAUCAUUCCACAAGCACUCCAGAACCUCAACAAAAAUAAAAAACUAAAUCUCUAAAGGCAAAACAA
Long non-coding RNA from Suricata suricatta (meerkat), 1588 nucleotides. RefSeq lists it as uncharacterized. The transcript is spliced from 3 exons. NCBI's taxonomy places the organism in Eukaryota, Metazoa, Chordata, Mammalia, Carnivora, Herpestidae. The record is from RefSeq and is a predicted model, not a curated record.